GUGGGGAAUCUUCCGCAAUGGACGAAAGUCUGAUGGAGCAACGCCGCGUGAGUGAAGAAGGGUUUCGGCUCGUAAAGCUCUGUUGUCGGGGACGAAUGUGCAGUAUUUGAAUAAAGUAUUGCAAUGACGGUACCUGACGAGGAAGCCACGGCUAACUACGUGCCAGCAGCCGCGGUAAUACGUAGGUGGCAAGCGUUGUCCGGAAUUAUUGGGCGUAAAGGGAGCGCAGGCGGGAAGGUAAGUCGGUCUUAAAAGUGCGGGGCUCAACCCCGUGAUGGGAUCGAAACUGUCUUGCUUGAGUGCAGGAGAGGAAAGUGGAAUUCCUAGUGUAGCGGUGAAAUGCGUAGAUAUUAGGAGGAACACCAGUGGCGAAGGCGACUUUCUGGACUGUAACUGACGCUGAGGCUCGAAAGCCAGGGGAGCAAACGGGAUUAGAAACCCUGGUAGUCC
RNAcentral lists this ribosomal RNA (450 nucleotides) under uncultured bacterium. RNAcentral describes it as "partial 16S ribosomal RNA". It matches the Rfam family "Bacterial small subunit ribosomal RNA", at positions 354 to 796 of the family's 1533-position model. The record is from RNAcentral.